RNAcentral lists this ribosomal RNA (429 nucleotides) under Bacillota bacterium. RNAcentral's name for it is "Firmicutes bacterium partial 16S ribosomal RNA". It matches the Rfam family "Bacterial small subunit ribosomal RNA", at positions 355 to 776 of the family's 1533-position model. Lineage: Bacteria; Bacillati; Bacillota. The record is from RNAcentral.
UAGGGAAUCUUCGGCAAUGGACGGAAGUCUGACCGAGCAACGCCGCGUGAGGGAAGAAGGUUUUCGGAUCGUAAAGCUCUGUUGUUAGAGAAGAACGUUGGUAGGAGUGGAAAAUCUACCAAGUGACAGUAACUAACCAGAAAGGGACGGCUAACUACGUGCCAGCAGCCGCGGUAACACGUAGGUCACGAGCGUUGUCCGGAUUUAGUGGGCGUAAAGCGAGCGCAGGCGGUUCUUUAAGUCUGAAGUUAAAGGCAGUGGCUUAACCCUUUUCCUCGUUGGAAACUGGAGUACUUGGGUGCAGAAGUGGAGAGUGGAAUUCCAUGUGUAUCGGUGAAAUGCGUAGAUAUAUGAAGGAACACCGGUGGCGAAAGCGGCUCUCUGGUCGUUAACUGACGCUGAGGCUCGAAAGCGUGGGGAGCAAACAGG